UACGGGGGGGGCAAGCGUUGUUCGGAAUUACUGGGCGUAAAGGGCUCGUAGGCGGCCAACUAAGUCGGACGUGAAAUCCCCAGGCUCAACCUGGGAACUGCGUCCGAUACUGGAUGGCUUGAAUCCGGGAGAGGGAUGCAGAAUUCCAGGUGUAGCGGUGAAAUGCGUAGAUAUCGGGAGGAACACCAGUGGCGAAGGCGACUACCUGGCCCACUCUUGACGCUGAGGCGCGAAAGCUAGGGGAGCAAACGGG
Molecule: ribosomal RNA, 253 nt
Filed under: uncultured bacterium
Lineage: Bacteria
Description: partial 16S ribosomal RNA
Rfam family: Bacterial small subunit ribosomal RNA
Source: RNAcentral